GAUGAACGCUGGCGGCGUGCCUAAUACAUGCAAGUCGAGCGAACGGACGAGAAGCUUGCUUCUCUGAUGUUAGCGGCGGACGGGCGAGUAACACGUGGAUAACCUACCUAUAUGACUGGGAUAACUUCGGGAAACCGGAGCUAAUACCGGAUGAUAUUAUGAACCGCAUGGUUCAAAAGUGAAAGACGGUCUUGCCGUCACUAAUAGCUGGAUCCGCGCUGCAUUAGCUAGUUGGUAAGGUAAUGGCUUACCAAGGCAACGAUGCAUAGCCGACCUGAGAGGAUGAUCGGCCACACUGGAACUGAGACACGGUCCAGACUCCUACGGGAGGCAGCAGUAGGGAAUCUUCCGCAAUGGGCGAAAGCCUGACGGAGCAACGCCGCGUGAGUGAUGAAGGUCUUCGGAUCGUAAAGCUCUGUUAUUAGGGAAGAACAUAUGUGUAAGUAACUGUGCACAUCUUGACGGUACCUAAUCAGAAAGCCACGGCUAACUACGUG
This 497-nucleotide ribosomal RNA is filed under the name uncultured bacterium. RNAcentral's name for it is "partial 16S ribosomal RNA". It matches the Rfam family "Bacterial small subunit ribosomal RNA", at positions 28 to 507 of the family's 1533-position model. The record is from RNAcentral.